GAUGAACGCUGGCGGCGUGCCUAAUACAUGCAAGUCGAACGAGAUCUUCGGAUCUAGUGGCGGACGGGUGAGUAACACGUUGGUACCUACCCCGAAGUGGGGAAUAACUGCCCGAAAGGGUGGCUAAUACCGCAUAAUACCGCAAGGUUAAAGCAUUUAUGCGCUUCGGGAGGGGCCUGCGUCCCAUUAGCUAGUUGGUAGGGUAAUUGCCUACCAAGGCGACGAUGGGUAGCUGGAUCGAGAGGUUGACCAGCCACACUGGGACUGAGAUACGGCC
RNAcentral lists this ribosomal RNA (277 nucleotides) under uncultured bacterium. Its description in RNAcentral is "partial 16S ribosomal RNA". It matches the Rfam family "Bacterial small subunit ribosomal RNA", at positions 28 to 331 of the family's 1533-position model. The record is from RNAcentral.